CCGAUGGACAAAGGCAGAUUGGCCUUGGGCAGAGCCCGAUGGAGAUGCUUGAUCACCUCUCUCGAGGAGAUGCUUGCCGAGCAAGCCAGUCUCCUCUCUUAAUUCUCUUGGCCGUGGAGAACUGGAGAUAGAGGCGAUCGCAGCCGCAGAAAGGCCAUGGUGGUGGCUGUAUUGAUCAAGCUAUGGCGACUGCUAUCCGUGGCUUUCUCAAUCUCACUUCUUCCCUUUUCCCCCCUUUCCCCCUUUCCUAUUUUUUUGGACGGUGAACAAUGGAGACUAGUCCGAUGGACAAAGACUAAGUACAACAGAAAUAUGAAUAGUCCGAUGGAUUCUAAAAACGAUUUCUUCUGGGGAGCGAGAGGAAGAGAGAUAGUGUGAGGGAGCAAGAGAGACAGUGUGGGAGAGAGAGGGAGACAUGGCAUAUGGAAGAUUGGCUCUGUUUAGUUCUACUUUGCUCUAUUUUUUCUUUCUUUGGCAGGCACGCAUGUUUCGGUGGAGGCGCUAUUUCUGGUUGCAGUUGUGGUUUUAGGGUUCGAGCUUUAUGUUUGCAGAGGCCGUCAAGUGGUGGUGGUUGUUCGUGGUUAAAGCUUUGGUUGGCCGCGGUUUCCCUACGGUGGUGGCUCCGCGUCCGCAAUGGAGCAUGGGUUCGCAUGCCUUCUCUCUGUUGGGUGUGAUGGACUCUCGAGGGACCCGUGAGGGGCACUUGUUCCAAGGCAUAAAGAGGAGAAAGAGGGUUGCCAAGUGAAGUUACGCCGAGAUGCCCUAGGAUGCGGAGCCCGAGGUGUUGGACUAUCCGUCAGAAGAUCUGCCUAGGGAGCCCGAGAUGGUUCCUCCAAUGCAGGAGCCGGUGGGGGUCCUUUAUGCUAUGAUUACUUGCACAGGGGCUCCUAUAUACUCCGGUGCUCCUACUUACUCCAGAUCUGCUCAUAUGCGAGGUGGACCCUCAGGCUCGGGGGCCUCGGGGAAUUUCAGGAGUGUGCUGUAGCCGAUCCAUGCUCUUCAGAAGAAUAAAGAGGCCAUUUUCCCCGAGGAGGUCACGGCGUGGACUGAUCUCCCUCUGCAUCAAGUGGCCUGUCGUGCC
This is a non-coding RNA of Nelumbo nucifera (sacred lotus), 1081 nucleotides long. The record is from RefSeq and is a predicted model, not a curated record. NCBI's taxonomy places the organism in Eukaryota, Viridiplantae, Streptophyta, Magnoliopsida, Proteales, Nelumbonaceae.